Molecule: ribosomal RNA, 259 nt
Filed under: uncultured prokaryote
Description: partial 16S ribosomal RNA
Rfam family: Bacterial small subunit ribosomal RNA
Source: RNAcentral
UACGGAGGAUGCGAGCGUUAUCCGGAUUUAUUGGGUUUAAAGGGUGCGUAGGCGGCCGAGUAAGUCAGCGGUGAAAUUUUGCAGCUUAACUGUAAAAGUGCCUUCGAAACUGGUUUCCUUGAGUGUAGAUGAAGUAGGCGGAAUUUGUGGUGUAGCGGUGAAAUGCAUAGAUAUCACACAGAAUAUCGAUUGCGAAGGCAGCUCACAAAGCCAAGAUUGACGCUGAGGCACGAAAGUGUGGGGAUCAAACAGGAUUAGA